CACGAGAUGCGCUCAUUGUUCCACAUCUGCAGGGUUAAGAAAAAUCAAGAGACAAGAGUGACAGAAAACAACAGGUGUCAGGAGUCACAGCACCCUGGCGAUGCGAAGCAGUUGGGGCACACCUAGAACAGUCCGCCGCAGUCGACAGUCGCAAACCAGUCAUUGCUGGUUGACAUAAAACGCAUCAGUAAUGGUGCGCCAGUGCGGAGAAGCUGCUGUGAGACCCGAGACAGGCACUGUGAUGCUGCCCUGUGACCUGAGCUGAGGAGGGCUGGGCAGAAUGAAUGACCAG
Long non-coding RNA from Thunnus maccoyii (southern bluefin tuna), 292 nucleotides. RefSeq lists it as uncharacterized. The record is from RefSeq and is a predicted model, not a curated record. NCBI's taxonomy places the organism in Eukaryota, Metazoa, Chordata, Actinopteri, Scombriformes, Scombridae. The transcript is spliced from 3 exons.